CAGCCGCCGCGGGAAUACGGAGGAUCCAAGCGUUAUCCGGAAUCAUUGGGUUUAAAGGGUCCGUAGGCGGUCUUGUAAGUCAGUGGUGAAAGCCCAUCGCUCAACGGUGGAACGGCCAUUGAUACUGCAGGACUUGAAUUAUUGGGAAGUAACUAGAAUAUGUAGUGUAGCGGUGAAAUGCUUAGAGAUUACAUGGAAUACCAAUUGCGAAGGCAGGUUACUACCAAUUGAUUGACGCUGAUGGACGAAAGCGUGGGUAGCGAACAGGAUUAGAUACCCCCGUAGUCCCUGUCUCUUAUAA
RNAcentral lists this ribosomal RNA (301 nucleotides) under uncultured bacterium. RNAcentral's name for it is "partial 16S ribosomal RNA". It matches the Rfam family "Bacterial small subunit ribosomal RNA", at positions 509 to 809 of the family's 1533-position model. The record is from RNAcentral.